Long non-coding RNA from Scophthalmus maximus (turbot), 1524 nucleotides. RefSeq lists it as uncharacterized. The transcript has 5 exons. Lineage: Eukaryota; Metazoa; Chordata; Actinopteri; Pleuronectiformes; Scophthalmidae. The record is from RefSeq and is a predicted model, not a curated record.
GGUAGAUUUUCUGUAUCUCUGACAUAGAGGUAUGACUAUUCGACCAAUCACAGAGCGAGAAGACCUACUGUGAAACUUUUAAUUGAAUUCAGAAGACGCAGGUUAGCGGGCUCGGCAGCUCGGUCGCAGAGGGAUGCACUUACGAAAACUAGAAGCAAUACAGUAAGAAAAUUGAAACCCAUUGCAUUUCAUUCAAUUGAAGCAGCGAGGUCCUGCGCCUGAAGGAUUCCCACUAUGAGCUUCAGGGGAAAAGGGUCAGAACGACCAGUGAAGGACCUACCUGGGUAUCUGUGAAGUUGUAGUCCAAGGAGAACUCCAGCCUUCCCAACUUUUCCUGUUCUUUCUCCUCCUCCUCCCCUUCCUUCUUCACUUCUCCCUCCUACAAGAUUAAAAUAACACCAGUGCAUUGGCAUUUUUUGAAAAGACAGAAGACGCAGCAUGCCACCAGAACCAGGACAACCACAACAAUGGCUCCUACUGCCCACAUGGGAACUGCAAAAGAAAAAUUUGUGUACCAAUUUGUCAGUAUUCACUACAGAAUUGGGGUACUCCUAUUAUGACAAAAAGGAGCGGAUAGCAGACCAGCUGAUGUCCCUUACAUUCAAAGUUACAUACUGUGACAAAAUGUGGGAAAAUCUUGAUAUCCAAACAACAAUAGCGACAAAAUUCCCAACAAAACAAACAAAAAAAUGUGUUUGAAUCUGAUCUUUACUUAGACAACUUUACAAACACUACCCUCUCUAUCAAAGGCUUUGUAGAAGCUUUUUGGUCUGGCCUGUUGGAAUUUUCACAUCUUGAGACUACGUCAAAGAACUCAGAUGAGUCAGGUUACUCCUAUAAUCUAAAUCAGUUCCAGCAAUAUCAUGACCAUAAACUGGCUUCCCCAAGAUUGGAAACACAAGCAAGUUCUUAAUGCACAAUAAAAUCUACAGGGAAACCUGGGGACGGUUUGCUGAGACUGCACCUAGGUCGUCAACUACACGCUUCUCCACAAUCAGAUAAUAACACACUCCGAGCUGGGAGCGCCACUAUUCGACCACAGCCACCAGCACCACUGACGCAGUUUAUCAUUAAGCGCUUUAUUCAAGGCAGUAAUCAGUGGUCGUUAACGAGAAGGGAAAACAGUUCUAAUUUCAUGUUUCUGCCUAGAUUCAAAUAAGUCAUAAGCAGUCUGUCAGUAACUCAGUGUAGGAAUUUUCCCAUCAAAUAUACACUAUCUUGAUCCUUUAAGAAUCAGGAAAAGGUCAAUACAAAUAUGAAAUUAUAUUCAUAUAUUUAUACGACAUCUGUAUAUGGGGUGGAUUCUCUCUUCUGAAAAAUGACCAACGAUACACACUUGUAAUUCAACACGUCAAAAUAAGUUUUGUUUCCGAGAGUUGGCUCACCUGGCAGGUGAUGAAUUUCAUUCAUGAACUUGUCCUUCAUGUGGCUGUAGUCAUGGCCAGGGUGAUGUUCUGGAUGGGAGGGCUCGUGAUGUUCUGGAUGGGAGUGCUCAUGGUGAACCGGCUCUGUUGCUUCCUCCGA